CGAGCGGAGGGCGCGGUCGAAAGAUCGUGGCCCCGCACACGGCUCAGUAACACGUAGUCAACCUACCCUUGGGACGGGGACAACCUCGGGAAACUGAGGCUAAUUCCCGAUAGGCGAGGGACGCUGGAAUGCCUCCUCGCCCAAAGCUCCGGCGCCCGAGGAUGGGACUGCGGCCUAUCAGGCUGUUGGUGGUGUGACGGACCACCAAACCUACGACGGGUACGGGCGAUGGGAGUCGGAGCCUGGAGAUGGGGACUGAGACAAGGCCCCAGGCCCUACGGGGCGCAGCAGGCGCGAAAACUCCGCAAUGCGCGCAAGCGUGACGGGGGGAUCCCAAGUGCCGUUGGUCUUUUGAUCGACGGCUUUUAGGAAGUCUAAGAAGCUUCCAGAAUAAGGGCUGGGCAAGACUGGUGCCAGCCGCCGCGGUAACACCAGCAGCCCAAGUGGUGACCACGAUUAUUGGGCCUAAAGCGCUCGUAGCCGGGUCAGCAAGUCCCUUGUGAAAUCGGGCCGCCUAACGGUUCGGCGUGCAAGGGGUACUGUUGGUCUUGAGGCCGGGAGAGGUCGGAGGUACUCCUGGGGUAGCGGUGAAAUGCUCUAAUCCUGGGGGGACCACCAGUGGCGAAGGCGUCCGACCAGAACGGGCCUGACGGUGAGGGGCGAAGGCUAGGGGAGCGAACGGGAUUAGAUACCCCGGUAGUCCUAGCUGUAAAGCAUGCGGGCCAGGUGUCUAGUGC
RNAcentral lists this ribosomal RNA (737 nucleotides) under uncultured archaeon. RNAcentral describes it as "bacterial SSU rRNA". It matches the Rfam family "Archaeal small subunit ribosomal RNA", at positions 54 to 781 of the family's 1478-position model. The record is from RNAcentral.